UUCUCUCUCCUCCUCCCCUCACUACUCUCUCUCUACCUAGGUAGAGAGAGAGUAGUGAGGGGAGGAGGAGAGAGAA
Molecule: microRNA precursor, 76 nt
Filed under: Oryza longistaminata (longstamen rice)
Lineage: Eukaryota; Viridiplantae; Streptophyta; Magnoliopsida; Poales; Poaceae
Description: pre miRNA MIR815
Source: RNAcentral